GUUCUAAACCCUGAAGACACGACCACCACCACCACCAUUACUAAACCAAUAGAAGAACUUUCAACAAUGGUGAAACCUGAUCAGGCCUUAUACCUGAUAACAUUAAAGUUUGAAGAGGUUGUUUAUAAAGUCAAAAUUGAAGGUUCAAGAGUCGGAUCUACCACAUGUUGGAUAAAGUGAUCUUGCUCUCUAAAGGCUCAUAGAUUUACUAUGGUUCUGCUUCCACAUCUUUGGACUAUUUUUCUUCAAUUGGAUUUUCCAUGUCUGUUACAGUCAAACCGACUGACCUUUUUCUUGAUCUUACUAAUGGAAGGAAUUGCACCUGAUUCAAUGCAUGAUUAUGAGCAAGGUGAAAACACGAACGAUGAGAAGAAAUCAAUAAGGCAACAACUCAUCAGUUGUUAUGAAACAAGACUGAAAACUGAUGUAUGUGAUUUGGACGUUGG
Long non-coding RNA from Lactuca sativa (garden lettuce), 446 nucleotides. RefSeq lists it as uncharacterized. The record is from RefSeq and is a predicted model, not a curated record. Lineage: Eukaryota; Viridiplantae; Streptophyta; Magnoliopsida; Asterales; Asteraceae.